This 1111-nucleotide long non-coding RNA is filed under the name Gallus gallus (chicken). Lineage: Eukaryota; Metazoa; Chordata; Aves; Galliformes; Phasianidae. The record is from RNAcentral.
CUCCUCUCCGCCGCCCCCGGUGGUGCCCGGCGCUCCUCGGGGCGCUCCGCCGCUCCCGUCCGGCGACGCUCCGGGAGACGCCGAGGUCUCCUCUCGCCGUCCGGCUUAUCCCCGUCAGCGCUCGGCUCCUCGCGGCGGCGCGGGCAGCAGCCGGGUGACGGGGGUUAUUGGGGUUAUUGUCAUUAUCUCCCUCUUCCCCUGUGGUUCUGCGUCUCUCCACCACUUUCAGACCAGCCCAUUAUAACGCCGGCGAGAGGCGGAGCCAGGACGGAGAUCUGAAAGGGUGGUGGGUGGGGAAGCAAAGGUAGCAAAGGUGGGUAUGCCCUAAUAGCCGUAUCGGAGCCGCAAUUAGCCCAGAUGACAGCGAGGUCUGGUUGGAAAGUCUUAUUUAUUUAUUUAUUUAUUUAUUUAUUUUAUGAAACGCGAGUGUAUUUUCUCCUGCCGGCUGCCUCCUCCACGCCGGCCGCUCCGAGCGGAGCAGAUCUCCACGGGAUCCGGAGCUCCAGCCCCGCUCCAGGUGCAGCGUGCGGAGCGGCUCAUAGGUGGCAGAGCAGAACCUGCCGCGCCUCGAUCUGCGCUCUCGGCGCCGCGCAGAGCGGCUCGUUGCGAUGUAUGUGACAGCGCAACAACCUGUUGGAACACCGCGCCGCUCCGCAGCUGGGGAUCCCUCGUGGUUUGUGUGGGCCGACGGCCUCGGCCCCUCUCCCCUGCCGUCAUAACAAGGGUGCAGGGCGAGGUGGGAGCAGAUCUCAGAGCUCACCCAGUUUACAGCCAAGAGGAGUGAAGGGGAGAUGUCCUGCUGAAAUCUGUUUGGCAAGUCAGUAGCAACGCCGUCUGUAGAACUGAGCUCUUCAGAGUCUUCAUCCUGUGCUGUAUCCACUGAGGUAUCCCCUGCGAGGCCUAAUCAGAAGUGUUGUGCCAUUUAGCAACCGCUGCCGGAACUGGAAUCGUGCUGUCAUGAGUCUCAGAUAACUUACAGAGAGUGAGUUCUCAGAACUGCUGCCUGAAAUUGUAAAUGCCUACACAUGUUGUCACAUCAAGGGCUUGUCAUCAUCUCAACUCAAAGCAGGUGUUUGCAACACAUGAAGCAAUCACCUGGGAUACGCUAGAG